AGGAGCUUGCUUCUCCGGAUGAGUUGCGAACGGGUGAGUAACGCGUAGGUAACCUGCCUGGUAGCGGGGGAUAACUAUUGGAAACGAUAGCUAAUACCGCAUAAGAGUAGAUGUUGCAUGACAUUUGCUUAAAAGGUGCAAUUGCAUCACUACCAGAUGGACCUGCGUUGUAUUAGCUAGUUGGUGGGGUAACGGCUCACCAAGGCGACGAUACAUAGCCGACCUGAGAGGGUGAUCGGCCACACUGGGACUGAGACACGGCCCAGACUCCUACGGGAGGCAGCAGUAGGGAAUCUUCGGCAAUGGACGGAAGUCUGACCGAGCAACGCCGCGUGAGUGAAGAAGGUUUUCGGAUCGUAAAGCUCUGUUGUAAGAGAAGAACGAGUGUGAGAGUGGAAAGUUCACACUGUGACGGUAUCUUACCAGAAAGGGACGGCUAACUACGUGCCAGCAGCCGCGGUAAUACGUAGGUCCCGAGCGUUGUCCGGAUUUAUUGGGCGUAAAGCGAGCGCAGGCGGUUAGAUAAGUCUGAAGUUAAAGGCUGUGGCUUAACCAUAGUACGCUUUGGAAACUGUUUAACUUGAGUGCAAGAGGGGAGAGUGGAAUUCCAUGUGUAGCGGUGAAAUGCGUAGAUAUAUGGAGGAACACCGGUGGCGAA
This 658-nucleotide ribosomal RNA is filed under the name uncultured Bacilli bacterium. Its description in RNAcentral is "bacterial SSU rRNA". It matches the Rfam family "Bacterial small subunit ribosomal RNA", at positions 74 to 719 of the family's 1533-position model. Lineage: Bacteria; Bacillati; Bacillota; Bacilli. The record is from RNAcentral.